AGGACGAACGCUGGCGGCGUGCUUAACACAUGCAAGUCGAGCGAGGCCCUUCCUUCGGGAAGGUGACCUAGCGGCGAACGGGUGAGUAACACGUGGGCAACCUGCCCUUGGCUCUGGGAUAAGCCCGAGAAAUCGGGUCUAAUACCGGAUACGACACGAGACGGCAUCAUCAUCGUGUGGAAGAAUUUCGGCCAAGGAUGGGCCCGCGGCCUAUCAGCUAGUUGGUGAGGUAAUGGCUCACCAAGGCGACGAC
This 253-nucleotide ribosomal RNA is filed under the name uncultured bacterium. RNAcentral describes it as "partial small subunit ribosomal RNA". It matches the Rfam family "Bacterial small subunit ribosomal RNA", at positions 26 to 280 of the family's 1533-position model. The record is from RNAcentral.